Molecule: ribosomal RNA, 1036 nt
Filed under: Chalara sp. OC0017
Lineage: Eukaryota; Fungi; Ascomycota; Leotiomycetes; Helotiales
Description: SSU rRNA
Rfam family: Eukaryotic small subunit ribosomal RNA
Source: RNAcentral
UAUACCGUGAAACUGCGAAUGGCUCAUUAAAUCAGUUAUCGUUUAUUUGAUAGUACCUUACUACUUGGAUAACCGUGGUAAUUCUAGAGCUAAUACAUGCUAAAAACCUCGACUUCGGAAGGGGUGUAUUUAUUAGAUAAAAAACCAAUGCCCUUCGGGGCUCACUGGUGAUUCAUAAUAACUUAACGAAUCGCAUGGCCUUGUGCCGGCGAUGGUUCAUUCAAAUUUCUGCCCUAUCAACUUUCGAUUGUUGGGUCUUGGCCAACAAUGGUUUCAACGGGUAACGGGGAAUUAGGGUUCUAUUCCGGAGAGGGAGCCUGAGAAACGGCUACCACAUCCAAGGAAGGCAGCAGGCGCGCAAAUUACCCAAUCCUGAUACAGGGAGGUAGUGACAAUAAAUACUGAUACAGGGCUCUUUUGGGUCUUGUAAUUGGAAUGAGUACAAUUUAAAUCCCUUAACGAGGAACAAUUGGAGGGCAAGUCUGGUGCCAGCAGCCGCGGUAAUUCCAGCUCCAAUAGCGUAUAUUAAAGUUGUUGCAGUUAAAAAGCUCGUAGUUGAACCUUGGGCCUGGCUGGCCGGUCCGCCUCACCGCGUGCACUGGUCCGGCCGGGCCUUUCCUCCUGGGGAGCCGCAUGCCCUUCACUGGGUGUGUCGGGGAACCAGGACUUUUACUUUGAAAAAAUUAGAGUGUUCAAAGCAGGCCUAUGCUCGAAUACAUUAGCAUGGAAUAAUAGAAUAGGACGUGUGGUUCUAUUUUGUUGGUUUCUAGGACCGCCGUAAUGAUUAAUAGGGACAGUUGGGGGCAUCAGUAUUUAAUUGUCAGAGGUGAAAUUCUUGGAUUUAUUAAAGACUAACUACUGCGAAAGCAUUUGCCAAAGAUGUUUUCAUUAAUCAGUGAACGAAAGUUAGGGGAUCGAAGACGAUCAGAUACCGUCGUAGUCUUAACCAUAAACUAUGCCGACUAGGGAUCGGGCGAUGUUAUCUUUUUGACUCGCUCGGCACCUUACGAGAAAUCAAAGUCUUUGGGUCUGGGGG